GUGAGUACCACUUACUAAGGAACUUUCUCUCAUUAAAGCAGAUACUUUUAGGCCCGCUGAACGUGGGGCCAUCCUACCUACCAAUGACUGUAGGACUGGCUGCCUCUGGAUCCUUUCAACACAGCCACGUGGAGUCACAAUGCAGCCUUCAGAGAAGAUUUACUGUUAACUAAAGUCAACCUGACCUUUGCAAAUCCUUAUUUCUGGAAGAGUGGACUGACUUGUUGGGAUUAAUGGCUCCUAAUAAGCCGAGUCGCCACAGGGUCAGCAGGCACACGCACAAGAAUAUCUAACAGAUCUGACAGUGCCUCAUGAGGAUGCCAUACAAACCCAUGUCACAUCCUGAGCCAGAGACUGAGAUGAACACAGACUGAAACUGGAUUCUCGAGUUCUCUGCAGGAUUAACUCACGUGCCCAGCGAGGGCACUGGGAAACACAGUGGCUUCCUGCUCACCCGUCCUGUCCCCAAGCAGCCUCUCUAUAUGGCUAGGCUAGGACAAAAAAUGUGCCAGUUGAAAACAGCAUGGUGGUCUCAAGGUAGUCUAGCUGUUGUGUCGUCUCAGGGUUCUCUGAAGAAGGCACAUCCAAAGA
This 591-nucleotide long non-coding RNA is filed under the name Cricetulus griseus (Chinese hamster). RNAcentral describes it as "lncRNA (ENSCGRG00015030141.1)". Lineage: Eukaryota; Metazoa; Chordata; Mammalia; Rodentia; Cricetidae. The record is from RNAcentral.